GCUAAUACCGGAUACGCUCCUCUGGUCGCAUGACUGGGGGAGGAAAGGGGAAACCCGCUAAUGGAUGGGUCCGCGUCCCAUUAGCUAGAUGGUGGGGUAAUGGCCUACCAUGGCGACGAUGGGUAGCCGGCCUGAGAGGGUGACCGGCCACACUGGGACUGAGACACGGCCCAGACUCCUACGGGAGGCAGCAGUGGGGAAUCUUCCGCAAUGGGCGAAAGCCUGACGGAGCGACGCCGCGUGAGCGAGGAAGGCCUUCGGGUCGUAAAGCUCUGUUCUGGG
RNAcentral lists this ribosomal RNA (282 nucleotides) under Desulfotomaculum sp. IS3205. RNAcentral's name for it is "partial 16S ribosomal RNA". It matches the Rfam family "Bacterial small subunit ribosomal RNA", at positions 162 to 442 of the family's 1533-position model. Lineage: Bacteria; Bacillati; Bacillota; Clostridia; Eubacteriales; Desulfotomaculaceae. The record is from RNAcentral.